Molecule: long non-coding RNA, 902 nt
Filed under: Heterocephalus glaber (naked mole-rat)
Lineage: Eukaryota; Metazoa; Chordata; Mammalia; Rodentia; Bathyergidae
Description: lncRNA (ENSHGLG00100034085.1)
Source: RNAcentral
GUGACUCACCUACCGAGAAGAGCUGAGCCUGGCACUCUGCCAGCCUAGGACAGAAGCGACUUAGUCACCACCCACCGGGACUGCGCUGCCCGCAGGCGUGGCCAGCGAUCGGGACAGGGGCUGUGCCCUCUGCCUACAGGCGCCCCCUGGUGAAGACAGGCGGGCUUUAGCAUCCCCACGGGGCUGGGCCCGCUCCUGCCCCUCUCCACUGCCCACCCCCAUCUCGCCGGACCCUGCUCCCGUGGCAACAAGCUGCCUCUGGCAGGCAGCCCACUACCCUUGGAGCCCGGCCCCCACCCCCAGUCCACCUAGUGUAGGAAGUAAGCGUUGGAGAGUAUUUGUCAUGCGGAGACCAGCCCAGGAGAGGAGAGAAGCAGCAAGGCGGAGACAGACAGACAGACAGACAAACAGACGGGAUUCCUGUGCUCUGUGCUCCAGCUGCAACCAACCACUAGCUGGGCCUGAAGUCAAUUUGAAGGCGAAGCAGGGGACAGAGGUACCACGUCUGCCUGCAGAGGGACCUGAACAACUCCAGGGGGCGUUGUUUACUCACAGCCCAAGGUCAGGUUUCCCUGUAGCUGUACAACACGGCAGCCCUCAGGGAGACAGAACUCAGGCUGGACCCCAAGGGGCUGUGAUUAUGCUCCCAGUUCUCUCCCACAGCACCCACCCCUGCCUCCAGGCCUCAGAGAAGGGAUCCCUUUGGACCAGGAAUCAGAAGCCCAGAGCCUGAGCUGGCCGAGGUAAACCACACCUGUGAUCCCAGCACUGAGGAGGCUGAGGCAAGAGGAUCACCACAAGUUUGAGGCCAGUUUACCCUACAUAGUGAGUUGAAGCCCAGCCUGGCCUACAGAGCGAGACCCAAAACAAACUAACAAAUAAACCUGUCCUGUCUCCCUGCC